RNAcentral lists this ribosomal RNA (366 nucleotides) under Triticum aestivum (bread wheat). RNAcentral's name for it is "partial small subunit ribosomal RNA". Lineage: Eukaryota; Viridiplantae; Streptophyta; Magnoliopsida; Poales; Poaceae. The record is from RNAcentral.
AUGAAAAUCAGUGGUUGGAAGGAAAAGCUGUUAUCAGCAGGAGGAAAGGAAAUCCUUCUCAAAUCGGUUGUACAAGCUAUCCCAACUUAUGCAAUGUCCGUCUUUAAAAUUCCUAAAAAAAUAUGUAAAGGAAUCAUUGACGCGAUGGCGCACUUUUGGUGGGGUGAUGAAGACAAUCAGAAGAGAAUGCAUUGGAUGGCUUGGUGGAAGAUGUGUGUACCAAAAGACCAAGGAGGAAUGGGUUUUCGAGACAUACAUUGUUUCAAUCUGGCCUUGUUAGCCAAACAAGUGUGGCGCCUGCUUGAUAAUCUUGAUUCCCUAUGUGCCACCAUUUUGAGAGCUAAAUAUUUCCAGAUGGAGAUUUAA